RNAcentral lists this transfer RNA (243 nucleotides) under uncultured Chromatiales bacterium. Its description in RNAcentral is "partial 16S-23S ribosomal RNA intergenic spacer". The stretch from base 75 to 149 matches the Rfam family "tRNA". The record is from RNAcentral. Lineage: Bacteria; Pseudomonadati; Pseudomonadota; Gammaproteobacteria; Chromatiales.
CCUCCUUUAAAGAAACCGGAACAAGGCGUGAAAGCGCCCGCACAAUUUGCCUUAUCAUCGUAAAGAUAGACCGCGGGUCUGUAGCUCAGUUGGUUAGAGCGCACCCCUGAUAAGGGUGAGGUCGGAAAGUUCAAAUCUUCCCCAGACCCACCCACCUUCGUGCUUGUAGGAGCAAAAAGGUAACAAGGGGGCCAUAGCUCAAACGGAAAACACCUGCUUUUCAAGCAGGGGUUCGGCGNUCUA